GGAAUCUUGCGCAAUGGGCGAAAGCCUGACGCAGCGACGCCGCGUGAGUGAUGAAGGCCCUCGGGUUGUAAAGCUCUGUGGAGAGGGAAGAAUAAGGGCGGGUUAAUACCCCGCCUGAUGACGGUACCUCUUUAGCAAGCACCGGCUAACUCUGUGCCAGACGCCGCGGUAAGACAGAGGGUGCAAACGUUGUUCGGAAUAACUGGGCGUAAAGCGCGUGUAGGCGGCCGGGCAAGUCGGAUGUGAAAGCCCACGGCUCAACCGUGGAAGUGCACCCGAAACUGCUCGGCUAGAGUCUCGGAGAGGAAGGUGGAAUGCUUGGUGUAGAGGUGAAAUUCGUAGAUAUCAAGCGGAACACCGGUGGCGAAGGCGGCCUUCUGGACGAUGACUGACGCUGAGACGCGAAAGCGUGGGGAGCAAAC
This 422-nucleotide ribosomal RNA is filed under the name uncultured bacterium. RNAcentral describes it as "bacterial SSU rRNA". It matches the Rfam family "Bacterial small subunit ribosomal RNA", at positions 358 to 773 of the family's 1533-position model. The record is from RNAcentral.